This 550-nucleotide ribosomal RNA is filed under the name Salmonella enterica. Its description in RNAcentral is "partial 23S ribosomal RNA". It matches the Rfam family "Bacterial large subunit ribosomal RNA", at positions 1 to 589 of the family's 2925-position model. The record is from RNAcentral. Lineage: Bacteria; Pseudomonadati; Pseudomonadota; Gammaproteobacteria; Enterobacterales; Enterobacteriaceae.
GUUAAGCGACUAAGCGUACACGGUGGAUGCCCUGGCAGUCAGAGGCGAUGAAGGGCGUGCUAAUCUGCGAUAAGCGCCGGUAAGGUGAUAUGAACCGUUAUAACCGGCGAUACCCGAAUGGGGAAACCCAGUGUGACUCGUCACACUAUCAUUAACUGAAUCCAUAGGUUAAUGAGGCGAACCGGGGGAACUGAAACAUCUAAGUACCCCGAGGAAAAGAAAUCAACCGAGAUUCCCCCAGUAGCGGCGAGCGAACGGGGAGGAGCCCAGAGCCUGAAUCAGCAUGUGUGUUAGUGGAAGCGUCUGGAAAGGCGCGCGAUACAGGGUGACAGCCCCGUACACAAAAGCGCAUGUGCUGUGAGCUCGAUGAGUAGGGCGGGACACGUGGUAUCCUGUCUGAAUAUGGGGGGACCAUCCUCCAAGGCUAAAUACUCCUGACUGACCGAUAGUGAACCAGUACCGUGAGGGAAAGGCGAAAAGAACCCCGGCGAGGGGAGUGAAAAAGAACCUGAAACCGUGUACGUACAAGCAGUGGGAGCACAGGUUUACC